Molecule: non-coding RNA, 26 nt
Filed under: Rattus norvegicus (Norway rat)
Lineage: Eukaryota; Metazoa; Chordata; Mammalia; Rodentia; Muridae
Source: RNAcentral
UCCUUACAGAGCAUGGCUAUCUUAUA